This 467-nucleotide ribosomal RNA is filed under the name uncultured bacterium. RNAcentral's name for it is "partial 16S ribosomal RNA". It matches the Rfam family "Bacterial small subunit ribosomal RNA", at positions 29 to 507 of the family's 1533-position model. The record is from RNAcentral.
ACGAACGCUGGCGGCGUGCUUAACACAUGCCAGUCGAACGGAAAGGCCCUGCUUUUGUGGGGUGCUCGCGUGGCGAACGGGUGAGUAACACGUGAGUAACCUGCCCUUGACUUUGGGAUAACUUCAGGAAACUGGGGCUAAUACCGGAUAGGAGCUCCUGCUGCAUGGUGGGGGUUGGAAAGUUUCGGCGGUUGGGGAUGGACUCGCGGCUUAUCAGCUUGUUGGUGGGGUAGUGGCUUACCAAGGCUUUGACGGGUAGCCGGCCUGAGAGGGUGACCGGCCACAUUGGGACUGAGAUACGGCCCAGACUCCUACGGGAGGCAGCAGUGGGGAAUAUUGCACAAUGGGCGGAAGCCUGAUGCAGCAACGCCGCGUGCGGGAUGACGGCCUUCGGGUUGUAAACCGCUUUCGCCUGUGACGAAGCGUGAGUGACGGUAAUGGGUAAAGAAGCACCGGCUAACUACGUG